CCAGACUCCUACGGGAGGCAGCAGUGAGGAAUAUUGGUCAAUGGGCGAGAGCCUGAACCAGCCAAGUCGCGUGAGGGAAGACGGUCCUAUGGAUUGUAAACCUCUUUUGCCGGGGAGCAAAAAGCGGUACGUGUACCGCAUCGAGAGUACCCGGAGAAAAAGCAUCGGCUAACUCCGUGCCAGCAGCCGCGGUAAUACGGAGGAUGCGAGCGUUAUCCGGAUUUAUUGGGUUUAAAGGGUGCGCAGGCGGCGAGUUAAGUCAGCGGUAAAAUUGCGGGGCUCAACCCCGACAAGCCGUUGAAACUGGCUUGCUAGAGUGGGCGAGAAGAAGGCGGAAUGCGUGGUGUAGCGGUGAAAUGCAUAGAUAUCACGCAGAGCCCCGAUUGCGAAGGCAGCCUUCCGGCGCCCUACUGACGCUGAGGCACGAAAGUGCGGGGAUCGAACAGGAUUAGAUACCCCAGUACAA
RNAcentral lists this ribosomal RNA (466 nucleotides) under uncultured bacterium. Its description in RNAcentral is "bacterial SSU rRNA". It matches the Rfam family "Bacterial small subunit ribosomal RNA", at positions 331 to 795 of the family's 1533-position model. The record is from RNAcentral.